GCGUCCGUAGCUCAUUUGGAUAGAGUAUCUGAUUCCGAAUCAGAGGGUGGCAGGUUCGAAUCCUGUCGGACGCACCA
Molecule: transfer RNA, 77 nt
Filed under: Clostridiaceae bacterium
Lineage: Bacteria; Bacillati; Bacillota; Clostridia; Eubacteriales; Clostridiaceae
Also listed under: 1 other name
Description: tRNA-Arg
Rfam family: tRNA
About the family: Transfer RNA (tRNA) molecules are approximately 80 nucleotides in length. Their secondary structure includes four short double-helical elements and three loops (D, anti-codon, and T loops).
Source: RNAcentral